CUACGGGACGCACCAGUGGGGAAUAUUGGACAAUGGGGGAAACCCUGAUCCAGCAAUGCCGCGUGUGUGAAGAAGGCCUGCGGGUUGUAAAGCACUUUCGGUUGGGAGGACUGCUUCUAGCACUAAUAUUGUUGGAAGUUGACGUUACCUUCAGAAGAAGCACCGGCUAACUCCGUGCCAGCAGCCGCGGUAAUACGGAGGGUGCAAGCGUUAAUCGGAAUUACUGGGCGUAAAGCGCGCGUAGGCGGCUAGAUCAGUCGGGUGUGAAAGCCCCGGGCUUAACCUGGGAACUGCAUCCGAUACUGUCUAGCUUGAGUACAGGAGAGGAGAGUGGAAUUCCACAUGUAGCGGUGAAAUGCGUAGAUAUGUGGCGGAACACCACUGGCGAAGCCAGAUCUCUGGCCUGAUACUGACGCUGAGGUGUGAAAGCGUGGGGAGCAAACAGGAUUAGAUACCCCGGUAGUC
This 465-nucleotide ribosomal RNA is filed under the name uncultured bacterium. RNAcentral describes it as "partial 16S ribosomal RNA". It matches the Rfam family "Bacterial small subunit ribosomal RNA", at positions 339 to 795 of the family's 1533-position model. The record is from RNAcentral.